Molecule: transfer RNA, 73 nt
Filed under: Stegodyphus mimosarum
Lineage: Eukaryota; Metazoa; Arthropoda; Arachnida; Araneae; Eresidae
Rfam family: tRNA
About the family: Transfer RNA (tRNA) molecules are approximately 80 nucleotides in length. Their secondary structure includes four short double-helical elements and three loops (D, anti-codon, and T loops). Further hydrogen bonds mediate the characteristic L-shaped molecular structure. tRNAs have two regions of fundamental functional importance: the anti-codon, which is responsible for specific mRNA codon recognition, and the 3' end, to which the tRNAs corresponding amino acid is attached (by aminoacyl-tRNA synthetases). tRNAs cope with the degeneracy of the genetic code in two manners: having more than one tRNA (with a specific anti-codon) for a particular amino acid; and 'wobble' base-pairing, i.e. permitting non-standard base-pairing at the 3rd anti-codon position.
Source: Rfam by way of RNAcentral
GCCUUUGUGGUGUAGCGGUCAACACGCUCGACUCGUAUUCGAGAGGUCCACGGUUCGAGUCCCGCCGAGUGCA